CUUGUACCAAUAGAAAUCGAAAUCGGCAGAGGCAGGGUGACGACGAAAAGGCUUUUCAUUAGGCUGAAGAAGCCUAUUUCCAUGAAAGAAAGGAGUCUAAAACCAUAAGAAGAGAAGAUGAAGGACGGAGUAGUGUCUUUUCCAACAAAGUAUGAAGCUGGCUGACAGCAAAGAAGGAAGGAAGGGGGAGACAUUGGUUCUAUGGGGUAAGAACUCGGGUGAGUAGGCUUCAAGUAUAGCUUGCCAAGGUCGCGAAAUGCAACAAGAAGAAGGGACCGCGAUG
This 283-nucleotide long non-coding RNA is filed under the name Amborella trichopoda. Its description in RNAcentral is "long non-coding RNA (ATRI_LNC004762)". The record is from RNAcentral. Lineage: Eukaryota; Viridiplantae; Streptophyta; Magnoliopsida; Amborellales; Amborellaceae.